Molecule: ribosomal RNA, 441 nt
Filed under: uncultured bacterium
Lineage: Bacteria
Description: partial 16S ribosomal RNA
Rfam family: Bacterial small subunit ribosomal RNA
Source: RNAcentral
CUACGGGCCGCUGCAGUGGGGAAUUUUGCGCAAUGGGGGAAACCCUGACGCAGCAAUACCGCGUGAGUGAAGAAGGCCUUUGGGUCGUAAAGCUCUUUUCUUGGGGAAGAUAGUGACGGUACCCAAGGAAUAAGCACCGGCUAACUCCGUGCCAGCAGCGCGCGGGUAAUACGGAGGGUGCAAGCGUUGUUCGGAUUUACUGGGCGUAAAGGGCACGUAGGCGGCACAGCAAGUUAAGGGUGAAAUCCCGGGGCUCAACUCCGGAACUGCUCUUAAAACUGCUGAGCUAGAGAUAGUCAGAGGCGGGUGGAAUUCCAGGUGUAGAGGUGAAAUUCGUAGAUAUCUGGAGGAACACCGGUGGCGAAGGCGGCCCGCUGGGGCUAUUCUGACGCUAAGGUGCGAAAGCGUGGGGAGCAAACGGGAUUAGAUACCCGAGUAGUC